This is a long non-coding RNA of Priapulus caudatus, 1479 nucleotides long. RefSeq lists it as uncharacterized. NCBI's taxonomy places the organism in Eukaryota, Metazoa, Priapulida, Priapulimorpha, Priapulimorphida, Priapulidae. The record is from RefSeq and is a predicted model, not a curated record. The transcript is spliced from 2 exons.
GACACGGUCAGGGUGUAGCGGUGGCUGUUCAAGCUGAGAGAGAUCAUCAACGACACGGUCAGGGUGUAGCGGUGGCUGUGCAAGCUGAGAGAGAUCAUCAACGACACGGUCAGGGUGUAGCGGUGACUGUUCAAGCUGAGAGAGAUCAUCAACGACACGGUCAGGGUGCAGCGGUGGCGGCUGUUCAAGCUGAGAGAGAUCAUCAACGACACGGUCAGGGUGUAGCGGUGACUGUUCAAGCUGAGAGAGAUCAUCAACGACACGGUCAGGGUGUAGCGGUGGCGGCUGUUCAAGCUGAGAGAGAUCAUCAACGACACGGUCAGGGUGUAGCGGUGGCUGUUCAAGCUGAGAGAGAUCAUCAACGACACGGUCAGGGUGUAGCGGUGGCGGCUGUUCAAGCUGAGAGAGAUCAUCAACGACACGGUCAGGGUGUAGCGGUGGCUGUGCAAGCUGAGAGAGAUCAUCAACGUAACAACAGGUCAGGGUUUGGUGGCAGCCGCAGCAAGGCCUGAGCGUGCGUGAGUCGUGAGGUGCAGACAACAGUGUGCAUGCCAACUCGUGUGCGUGAACUGCGACUCGGUUUAUUCUUCGCUAGUGGAUCCACAGUCGGGUAUUGCAGCACGAGGGGAGGAAGUCAGCCAUGUACAGGUUGACGGGUGCGCCGGGUUGAAAUGUGGCCUCGCGCGUGGAAUGUGCGACGUGGUGUAUAUCCGAUUAUCGACUCCUAUCAUCGAACGAGUUUAUUUGGAGAAAUUAUUACUUGAUGAAGUCAUGCGACAUGACCUGAUCCGGGUUAAUUAAUUAUAACAUGAGACAGCAGCUGGUGUCGCUGUAAAAUCAACCGAUGCUUUACGUGAAUACUGUUUAGGUGUAACCACAGCAACGACAAAUAAGUUGAGCAGCCUCAUGUGUAGCCAGCUCAUGUUGUAGAUGAUCGUACGAUUGGUCGACUGUUUAGAAACUUAUGUAAUCGAGGGAGUUAUACGAGUGUGAUCUGUGUACUGCUUUUUAAAUUUAAAAUCAAGAGUGAAUCCAACAAUCAUGUAAUAUGCACACUCAAAUAUAUGGCUGCUUUUGUAUCUCUCUAGUUAGCAUUCUGUGACAACAUAUAAGCAUGGCUGAAAUUUUUUCUAGUACGAUUCAUUAUUAAGCUGACUGUGUGUCAUAUGACCCUGUUCGAAUGGUGCUUGUAGAUGUGUACUUGAAUUAUGUUGACAACGAUUUCAUUAUUUAGCCGAGUCUUUUUACUCUGCUAGCGACGUGCUUAAACAUGUUGAAUGUAAAAUUGUUCAGCAAAAUGGCAGUGAUAUGUUUGUAACCGUAAAAGGAUAUCCUGUGACUUUCAAAACCGGGUUCAUUGUUUUCACAUGAUUUUUUUUAGUCAAUAUUUUAAACGCAUGUCAAACAACGUGAUAUAAACAGCAUGUUUUGUACAUAUACGAGCAUAAUAUAUAAUAUGAGAUGAUCACUAAAAGCGAA